Molecule: transfer RNA, 76 nt
Filed under: Megasphaera elsdenii
Lineage: Bacteria; Bacillati; Bacillota; Negativicutes; Veillonellales; Veillonellaceae
Also listed under: 1 other name
Description: tRNA-Trp
Rfam family: tRNA
About the family: Transfer RNA (tRNA) molecules are approximately 80 nucleotides in length. Their secondary structure includes four short double-helical elements and three loops (D, anti-codon, and T loops).
Source: RNAcentral
AGGGACGUAGCUCAAUGGGCAGAGUAGUGGUCUCCAAAACCAUUUGUUGAAGGUUCGAGUCCUUCCGUUCCUGCCA